This 1191-nucleotide long non-coding RNA is filed under the name Anas platyrhynchos platyrhynchos (common mallard). RNAcentral describes it as "lncRNA (ENSAPLG00000026912.1)". The record is from RNAcentral. Lineage: Eukaryota; Metazoa; Chordata; Aves; Anseriformes; Anatidae.
UUUUUCCUUUUUGUCUCCAUUUUCCUUUUUUUUGGUCUGUUUUCCUUUUUUGGGGGUUCUUUUUCCCUUUUUUUUCUGGUUCAUUUUCCCUUUUCUUGGUUCAUUUUCCCUUUUUUUGGUCUGUUUUCCUUUUUUUUUUUCCUCCAUUUUUCCUUUUUUCCUCCAUUUUUCCUUUUUUUCUCCAUUUUUCCUUUUUUCCUCCAUUUCUCCUUUUUUCCUCCAUUUCUCCUUUUUUUCUCCAUUUCUCCUUUUUUGCUCCAUUUUCCUCCAUUCAUUUUCCCUUUUUUCAUCAUCUUUUCCUUUUUCCUCCUGCAUUUUUAGUCCUCUUCCUUCUUUCCUUUUUUCCUGGUUCAUUUUCCUUUAUUCUGUUUUGUUUCCCUGUUCAAGGUCAUUCUCCUUUUUUGGGGGUUCAUUUUCCUUCUAUUUUCUCAUUUCAUUUUUUGGUUCAUUUUCCUUUUAUUUUGAUUCAUUUUCCCUUUUUUUGUCAUUUUCCUUUUAUUUUUGUUCAUUUUCCUCUUUUAUUUUUUCUGCUAUUUUCCCUUUUUUGGUUCAUUUUCCCUUUUCUUUGGCCACUUCACUUUUGUGGGGGUUUAUUUUUCUUUUCUUUUUUUCCUUUUUUGGGUCAUUUUCCUUUUUUCAUUUUUCGUUUCCUUUUUUUUUUUUUUUCUUUUUUUUUUUUUUUAGGAAAAUCCCUUUUUAGGCCGUUUUGAGGAGGCAGUGUUCGGCUGCCUGCCGGCCACUUCCGCAUCUGGCCCCCUCCCUGAAAAAAAAGGAAGAAAAGCCUCAAAACCACCCCAAAAUUUGUAUUCUUGGCAUUAAAUUAUUCGGCUCGCUCGCGUUUCCCUCAUGUCUGUUCCACCUGCAGGAGCAUUUUGGGGCAAAAAAGGGCCCCGACCACGAAAAAUCCCCCCUCAAAAAGCAUCCAAAAAGGUAAAUUUCCAGCCAAAAAGCCUCAAGAAGGUCAAAAAGUGUAAAAAAGAAAAAAAAGGUGAAUUCUGAGCUGUAAAGUGGCGUUUUCAGCGCUCGCGAUGCCCCGUGCCCUCCGCCUGUACAAAACCCGCGCUUUUUUGUAAAACCCCGUCUUUUUACAACAAAAAGCCCCAAAUCAGCAUCUUUUUGCAGAGCUUUAACCGAAUCCGCGGUUUUUCAAGGUGUAAUAAAGUGUAAAUAGCGCCGCGGCCGCCCCGUCCG